RNAcentral lists this ribosomal RNA (364 nucleotides) under uncultured eukaryote. RNAcentral describes it as "partial 18S ribosomal RNA". It matches the Rfam family "Eukaryotic small subunit ribosomal RNA", at positions 592 to 976 of the family's 1831-position model. The record is from RNAcentral.
CAAAAGCGUAUAUUAAAGUUGUUGCAGUUAAGAAGCUCGUAGUUGAACCUUGGGCUUGGCUGGCCGGUCCAUCUUUUUUGAUGCGUACUGGACCCAGCCGAGCCUUUCCUUCUGGCUAGCCUUUUGGCGAACCAGGACUUUUACUUUGAAAAAAUUAGAGUGUUCAAAGCAGGCCUUUGCUCGAAUAUAUUAGCAUGGAAUAAUAGAAUAGGACGUUAUGGUUCUAUUUUGUUGGUUUCUAGGACCAUCGUAAUGAUUAAUAGGGACGGUCGGGGGUAUCAGUAUUCAGUUGUCAGAGGUGAAAUUCUUGGAUUUACUGAAGACUAACUACUGCGAAAGCAUUUACCAAGGACGUUUUCAUUAA